This 499-nucleotide long non-coding RNA is filed under the name Stegodyphus dumicola. RNAcentral's name for it is "uncharacterized LOC118191839, transcript variant X1". The record is from RNAcentral. Lineage: Eukaryota; Metazoa; Arthropoda; Arachnida; Araneae; Eresidae.
GCGGCCUCUCGCAUGGACGGUUCUCAGAAAAUUUCCAUUUGGACAGGACAGUUGUACUAUCACUAUGUGGUGCCCAGGGCCCAUGCCAACAAUAAAUGCAAUCCUGAGCUCCUAGCCACAAUAAAAUUUGUGGACUUCUGAUGUUACUGUCAGACAACUGAGGUCAUGAGUCGCUUAAGGAACGUAAAAGUGCCUAAAAAGCAAUUGUGUAUGAUGAGAAUAGACAUCCAAAGAAAAUGACCUUUUGUAGCUAGAAGAAUGGAACUGCUGAUAAGGACUGAUUGUUUAGCAUUUCAAGUCUUUGACUUUUUUAUAUUUUAUCAUGCUCAUUAUUAAAUUAGACAACGGAAAUAACAUAUUUGAUGAUAAUGCCAUUUGUGGAUUCUGAAUUUUGUUUUGACUUAGAUAUGUAUAUCUUGUUAACUUUCGCAUUAUAAGUUCAUGGGAAAAUUAUUUUAUUUUUAAGACAUGUUUAAUAAAUGUAGUUCCAUUAACUAUC